This 397-nucleotide ribosomal RNA is filed under the name uncultured bacterium. RNAcentral's name for it is "partial 16S ribosomal RNA". It matches the Rfam family "Bacterial small subunit ribosomal RNA", at positions 523 to 918 of the family's 1533-position model. The record is from RNAcentral.
AUACGUAGGUGGCAAGCGUUGUCCGGAAUUAUUGGGCGUAAAGCGCGCGCAGGUGGUUCCUUAAGUCUGAUGUGAAAGCCCCCGGCUCAACCGGGGAGGGUCAUUGGAAACUGGGGAACUUGAGUGCAGAAGAGGAUAGUGGAAUUCCAAGUGUAGCGGUGAAAUGCGUAGAGAUUUGGAGGAACACCAGUGGCGAAGGCGACGGUCGGGUCUGUAACUGACACUGAGGCGCGAAAGCGUGGGGAGCAAACAGGAUUAGAUACCCUGGUAGUCCACGCCGUAAACGAUGAGUGCUAAGUGUUGGGGGGUUUCCGCCCCUCAGUGCUGCAGCUAACGCAUUAAGCACUCCGCCUGGGGAGUACGGUCGCAAGACUGAAACUCAAAGGAAUUGACGGGG